CUGCGGUAACUUGCGUUGGACUGAUGAAAUGAAUAUGGCUGUCGAUGCCCCCAGCAGUGACGAUUUUACCCUCGGCUGAAAUCACUUCCGUUGAAAUACCAAUGGGAAAAGUGACCCCAGCCAUCACCAAAUCAUUGCCAGCUUUGCCAAUGGCAAAAAUUUUGCCAUCGCGGAUGCCAAUGUCUGCCUUAUAAAUACCGGUGUAAUCAAUUAUUAAUGCGUUGGUUAAUACCAGAUCUGGCACACCUUGAUCCCGAGUCAACAAAGGAUUCAUCCCCAUGCCUUCCCGG
This 290-nucleotide small RNA is filed under the name Agrilactobacillus composti DSM 18527 = JCM 14202. RNAcentral describes it as "Lactobacillus composti DSM 18527 = JCM 14202 5' ureB small RNA". It matches the Rfam family "5' ureB small RNA", at positions 1 to 262 of the family's 292-position model. Lineage: Bacteria; Bacillati; Bacillota; Bacilli; Lactobacillales; Lactobacillaceae. The record is from Rfam by way of RNAcentral.